RNAcentral lists this long non-coding RNA (970 nucleotides) under Lonchura striata (white-rumped munia). RNAcentral describes it as "domestica (Bengalese finch) lncRNA (ENSLSDG00000001460.1)". The record is from RNAcentral. Lineage: Eukaryota; Metazoa; Chordata; Aves; Passeriformes; Estrildidae.
UGAGAUAUGGACAGGUGAGGCGCAGGUGAGCAGCAGCCGCUCACCUGCCAGCACCCACAGCGUGCCGUUCACCACCGGGGUGCGCGGGGCGUCUGUGGGACAGGUGAGACAGGUGAGAUAUGGACAGGUGAGACAGGUGGGACAGGUGGGACAGGUGAGAUAUGGACAGGUGAGACAGGUGAGACAGGUGAGACAGGUGAGACAGGUGGGAUAUGGACAGGUGAGACAGGUGAGACAGGUGAGACAGGUGAGACAGGUGGGAUAUGGACAGGUGAGACAGGUGAGACAGGUGAGACAGGUGGGAUAUGGACAGGUGAGCAGCAGCCGCUCACCUGCCAGCACCCACAGCGUGCCGUUCACCACCGGGGUGCGCGGGGCGUCUGUGGGACAGGUGAGAUAUGGACAGGUGAGACAGGUGAGACAGGUGAGAUAUGGACAGGUGAGACAGGUGAGACAGGUGAGGGACAGGUGAGACAGGUGAGACAGGUGAGGAACAGGUGAGACAGGUGAGACAGGUGACACAGGUGAGGUAUGGACAGGUGAGACAGGUGAGAUGCAGGUGACACAUGGACAGGUGAGAUACAGGUGGGAUAUGGACAGGUGAGAUACAGGUGUUGGGACAGGUGACAGAGCUAGGACAUGCACAGGUGAGGCAGGUGGGACAGGUAUGGAGAGGGUCCCUGUUGUGUGUCCAGCUGCCCCCAGGUGUGCCCAGGUGAGGUAAAAGUGGGGUUCAGGUGUGCCCAGGUGAGGUUAAAGUGGGAUUAAAUGGGGCUCAGGUGUGCCCAGGUGAGGUUAAAGUGGGGCUCAGGUGUGCCCAGGUGCCCCCAGGUGUGCCCAGGUGAGGUUAAAGUGGGGUUCAGGUGCCCCCAGGUGUGCCCAGGUGUGCCCAGGUGUGCCCAGGUGCCCCCAGGUGUGGGUUCAGGUGUGCCCAGGUGCCCCCAGGUGCCCCCAGGUGCGCCCAGGUGUG